AUAGCGAACAAGUACCGUGAGGGAAAGUUGAAAAGCACUCUGGAGAGAGAGUCAAAAGACCGUGAAACCGCUCAGAGUAUAAGCCCAUGGCUGCUUGGAAGGCAUAUCGCUAGCGGGGCAUCAGUUUCCUUCACGGGGGGCUGGUGUUACCUUGCUUCUGUUGUGGCUCGUUAUGGCGGGGUGACGCCCCGCCGCCGUGUGGGAAGUUCUCGGGCGUGUCGUUGUUUCGCGGUUGACUUCGGUUAGCCGCGGGGCUCUUCGCGCUUGGCUCUUCUUUAGACACGAACGCUCAGACUCAGUGGCAAGACGCGAUAAACAGCCCACCACGGCUCGUUGUGAGGUCACCCACAGGCUCAGCUUUCGAUUGUGGUCCUUGACGCCGAGCAAGCACUGUGCGUGUCGCAGAUGUUCCUAACCUGGCAACUCAUGGGCCGGACUGUGGAACGACACGCGCUCAAAAGUCGGGACCGGGCGAUGACAGAGUUCUGGUACGAUCCUCUUGCGACGAGCCGGCUUCUGGCCGAGUUCCGAUGCUCAGGUCUCCCGCAUGUGCCGCGGGAGAUCGCCUUGACGGUCUGGAUUUUCACGAGUCCUCUCAGUCGGGCAACGGAAAGAGUGGUGUAAAGUCCAAGCCCAUCGGUCACGUCUCGAAACACGGGCCAAGGAGUAUAGCAUGUGUGCAAGUCUAAGGGUCUCACAAAACCCGAAGGCGAAGUGAAAGCAAGUAAGCGGCGGGUGAUCUA
RNAcentral lists this ribosomal RNA (743 nucleotides) under Gammarus cf. lacustris CHA1. Its description in RNAcentral is "partial 28S ribosomal RNA". It matches the Rfam family "Eukaryotic large subunit ribosomal RNA", at positions 337 to 747 of the family's 3401-position model. Lineage: Eukaryota; Metazoa; Arthropoda; Malacostraca; Amphipoda; Gammaridae. The record is from RNAcentral. RNAcentral also lists the same sequence under 1 other name.